UCAACAACACCGAACCCUAUCACUAACUCUAACAGCCCACAAUCCCAAACUCCGUCUCCAAGCAUUCCCAAAGACCUCUCUCCCCACAGAAAAUACUCAAUUCUAUGCAUUCUUCUCAGUGGCAUUUUGUCAAACACUUUGCACCAAAAAUAACUCCUUCACUUAUUUCAACUACUAUUAUUAAUCUCCAUAAAACCCCUGAUUUAUCCUUCCAGUUUGUAAUCCAUAUUGGAUUUAAUGGUGUUGAUAUCAGAAGCAGGUACCUUGCUAUGGCGGCAACCUCUCACGCACCGAACCCAAAACCCACACUGCAGCUCUUGAAAGAAACUAAUAAUAACGGGGCUUAUAGUAUCAGGGAGGUUUUUAAUGAGCUGGGAGUUGCAAGAGAUGUCUUAGGUGGUAAAAGUUAUGUUUUUUAUGACUUGUUGAUAAGGGCUUGUUGUGAAUUGAAGAGGAGUGAUGAUGCAUUUGAGUGUUUUGAUAUGAUGAAGGGAAAGGGUGUAAUUCCUUGUGUUCAUGCUUGUAAUGAUAUCUUGAGUUUGUUUCUGAAGUUAAAUACGACAGAGAAGGCGCGGGUUCUGUAUGCAUAGAUGUUUAGGUUGAGGAUUAAAUCGAGUGUUGUCACGUUUAAUAUAAUGAUCAAUGUGUUGUGUAAGGAAGGAAAGUUGAAGAAGGCAAAGGAGUUUACUGGUUUAUGGAGAGCUUGGGGAUCAAGCCUAAUGUUGUUACGUAUAAUACAAUAAUUCAUGGAUAUUGUUCAAGAGGGAGAGUUGAAGGUGCUCGUAUGAUUUUUGAUGUAAUGAAAUGUAGAGGUUAAACCAGAUUCGUACACAUAUAGUUCAUUCACUAGUGGAAUGUGCAAGGAAGGAAAACUUGAGGAGGCAUCUGGGAUGCUUGAGAAGAUGAAAGAAAUCGAGUUGCGUCCAACUGCUGUGACUUAUAAUACUUUGAUUGAUGUGUAUUGCAAUUAAGGGGAUUUGGAGAUGACUUUUAGCUAUAGAGAUGAGAUGGUAACAGAGGGUAUAAGGCCGACUGUUUCAACUUACAACAUGUUGAUUCAUGCAUUGUUUUUGGAUGAUGUAGUAGCAUAAAGAAAGCGUUUAGCCUCCAUGAUGAAAUGAUGAGCAAAGGGAUUCAGCCUACCCAUGUAACUUACACGUCGCUGAUUUAUGUUUUGAGUAAACGGGAUAGAAUGAAACAGGCUGGUGACUUGUUUGAAAAGAUAGUCCAUAAAGGCAUUUUCCCGGCUCUCAUAAUGUUCAAUGCAUUGACUGAUGGUCACAGUGCAAAUGGGAAUAUGGACCGUGCGUUUGCAUUGUUGAAGGAGAUGGAGCAAAUGAAAGUUGUUCCUGAUGAAGUAACUUACAAUAUCCUAAUGCAAGGGCGUUGCAUGGAGGGAAAAGUUGAAGAAGCACGUGAGCUUCUUGAAGAGAUGAAGAGCAGGGGGGGUUAAACCUGACCAUACUAGUUAUAAUACUCUAAUUAGUGGGUAUAGCAAGAGAGUAUAGGAUUCAAUCCUGCACUUCUCACUUAAAAUGCCCGGAUACAAGGCUUAUGCAAAAACCAGGAAGGAGAUCAUGCUGAACAGCUCCUCAAAGAAAUGGUUAGCAAAGGCAUUACUCCUGAUGAUAGCAUCUAUUUAUCUUUGAUUUAGGGGAUAGGGAAUGUUGAGGAAUAUUUGGGAAGAAGUAGUUCAUGGUUAAUUUCUUUGACAGCAGCAUUAAAUCCUUGCCAGUCACCACUGAAACAGUUUUACACAAAAAUAUUCGUCUUUUUUUCCACGGAGGCAAGUUCUUGUCUGUCAGAUUUUAAUGAUGCUGGUUAUGGAAUUCUGAAGGCUUCGUUUAGGAAACCUUUUUUUUGUCUUCUAAUUAGUUUGUUUUAUUAUACGAGAAUCUGAACAGGUCUCAUAAAGAAUAAACUACUUCAGCUUGGAGGUUGGACAGUUAAAUUUACAUAUUAUCUGUGAAUAUUUUAGAACCCAUGUCUGAUUUUGAAUUUAAAGCAGUUGGAAUUGCAAGUGAAGUUGAGCCUGCUUUUAAACAGAGAAUAAUGAUUUACCAUGCCAUAUGUAUCUUGGCAAAUAUUAUGUGAAACAUGCAGAUAUUCCUGUUCUUAAAACAUCCUAGGAUGCAAUUUGGCUUUUCUUCCUCUGUUGCCCUCCCUUUCUAGUUACAAUUUUUAUACCAUUAUAUAAGAUAGGCAUAUUAACAGUCUCAGUACACUGAAAUUGUUGCCAAUCCAAAACUACUUUCCGAUUAUUUUGGCAAAAUUUUCAAAUCAUGAUGUCAUGUGUCAAGUAAAAGGUGUUUCCAUUGUUUUACCAUUCCGAUUUCCACUUCUGGUAUGAUCAGGUUCUUACAUGCCAAGGUAGCCAUGUAACUCUAUUUCAUGCUGGAUCUAUCUCAUUUCAACUCUUUGUAAGUUAGCUUUUUCAGCAAUUUUUAUUUUGCAUGAAA
Long non-coding RNA from Populus trichocarpa (black cottonwood), 2459 nucleotides. RefSeq lists it as uncharacterized. The transcript is spliced from 2 exons. Lineage: Eukaryota; Viridiplantae; Streptophyta; Magnoliopsida; Malpighiales; Salicaceae. The record is from RefSeq and is a predicted model, not a curated record.